RNAcentral lists this ribosomal RNA (500 nucleotides) under uncultured bacterium. Its description in RNAcentral is "partial 16S ribosomal RNA". It matches the Rfam family "Bacterial small subunit ribosomal RNA", at positions 28 to 504 of the family's 1533-position model. The record is from RNAcentral.
GACGAACGCUGGCGGCGUGCUUAACACAUGCAAGUCGAACGGUGAAGCGCUUUCCUUUUUGGUUGGUGUGGAUGAGUGGCGAACGGGUGAGUAACACGUGAGUAACCUGCCCCCUUCUUCUGGAUAACCGCAUGAAAGUGUGGCUAAUACGGGAUAUUCUGCGCCUGCUGCAUGGUGGGUGUGGGAAAGAUUGUGCCUUUGGGUGUUUUCGGUGGGGGAUGGGCUCGCGGCCUAUCAGCUUGUUGGUGGGGUGAUGGCCUACCAAGGCGGUGACGGGUAGCCGGCCUGAGAGGGUGGACGGUCACACUGGGACUGAGACACGGCCCAGACUCCUACGGGAGGCAGCAGUGGGGAAUAUUGCACAAUGGGCGCAAGCCUGAUGCAGCGACGCCGCGUGAGGGAUGGAGGCCUUCGGGUUGUGAACCUCUUUCGCCAGUGAAGCAGGCCUGCUCCUUGUGGGUGGGUUGACGGUAGCUGGAUAAGAAGCGCCGGCUAACUAC